GUACCCGUAGCUCAGUUGGAUAGAGCAACGGCCUUCUAAGCCGUCGGUCGAGGGUUCGAGUCCCCCCGGGCACG
RNAcentral lists this transfer RNA (74 nucleotides) under Clostridia bacterium. RNAcentral's name for it is "tRNA-Arg". It matches the Rfam family "tRNA". Rfam says of the family: Transfer RNA (tRNA) molecules are approximately 80 nucleotides in length. Their secondary structure includes four short double-helical elements and three loops (D, anti-codon, and T loops). Further hydrogen bonds mediate the characteristic L-shaped molecular structure. tRNAs have two regions of fundamental functional importance: the anti-codon, which is responsible for specific mRNA codon recognition, and the 3' end, to which the tRNAs corresponding amino acid is attached (by aminoacyl-tRNA synthetases). tRNAs cope with the degeneracy of the genetic code in two manners: having more than one tRNA (with a specific anti-codon) for a particular amino acid; and 'wobble' base-pairing, i.e. permitting non-standard base-pairing at the 3rd anti-codon position. Lineage: Bacteria; Bacillati; Bacillota; Clostridia. The record is from RNAcentral.